Molecule: ribosomal RNA, 445 nt
Filed under: uncultured bacterium
Lineage: Bacteria
Description: bacterial SSU rRNA
Rfam family: Bacterial small subunit ribosomal RNA
Source: RNAcentral
ACCAGACUCCUACGGGAGGCAGCAGUGGGGAAUAUUGCACAAUGGGGGAAACCCUGAUGCAGCAACGCCGCGUGAGUGAAGAAGUCAUUCGUGAUGUAAAGCUCUAUCAGCAGGGAAGAAAAUGACGGUACCUGAGUAAGAAGCCCCGGCUAACUACGUGCCAGCAGCCGCGGUAAUACGUAGGGGGCGAGCGUUAUCCGGAUUCACUGGGCGUAAAGGGAGCGCAGGCGGCACGGCAAGUCCGGUGUGAAAGCCCGGGGCCCAACCCCGGGACUGCACUGGAAACUGCCGGGCUGGAGUGUCGGAGGGGCAGGCGGAAUUCCUAGUGUAGCGGUGAAAUGCGUAGAUAUUAGGAGGAACACCAGUGGCGAAGGCGGCCUGCUGGACUGCAACUGACGUUGGGGCUCGAAGGCGUGGGGAGCAAACAGGAUUAGAUACCCCUGUA